AAAGUGGAGCAAUCCAUGAGUAAAGUGGCGACCGGGUGAGUAACACGUGACUAACCUACCUCCGAGUGGGGAAUAACUCCGGGAAACCGGGGCUAAUACCGCAUAACAUCGCAAGAUCAAAGCAGCAAUGCGCUUGGAGAGGGGGUCGCGGCUGAUUAGCUAGUUGGCGGGGUAACGGCCCACCAAGGCGAAGAUCGGUAUCCGGCCUGAGAGGGCGCACGGACACACUGGAACUGAAACACGGUCCAGACUCCUACGGGAGGCAGCAGUGGGGAAUUUUGCGCAAUGGGGGAAACCCUGACGCAGCAACGCCGCGUGGAGGAUGAAGCCCUUUGGGGCGUAAACUCCUUUCGACCAAGACGAUAAUGACGGUACUGGUGGAAGAAGCACCGGCUAACUCUGUGCCAGCAGCCGCGGUAAUACAGAGGGUGCGAGCGUUGUUCGGAAUUAUUGGGCGUAAAGGGCGCGUAGGCGGUGCCACAAGUCACUUGUGAAAUCUCCGGGCUUAACUCGGAGCCUGCAGGCGAAACUGUGGUGCUGGAGUGUGGGAGAGGUGCGUGGAAUUCCCGGUGUAGCGGUGAAAUGCGUAGAUAUCGGGAGGAACACCUGUGGCGAAAGCGGCGCACUGGACCAUAACUGACGCUGAGGCGCGAAAGCUAGGGGAGCAAACAGGAUUAGAUACCCUGGUAGUCCUAGCCCUAAACGAUGAUUGCUUGGUGUAGCAGGUACCCAAUCCUGCUGUGCCGCAGCUAACGCGAUAAGCAAUCCGCCUGGGGAGUACGGUCGCAAGGCUGAAACUC
Molecule: ribosomal RNA, 800 nt
Filed under: uncultured Bacillota bacterium
Lineage: Bacteria; Bacillati; Bacillota
Description: bacterial SSU rRNA
Rfam family: Bacterial small subunit ribosomal RNA
Source: RNAcentral